AUGUCUAAUCUCCCCAAGCCCUCAGAAGUUGACGCCGAUAACAUCAUUAAGCCCGGUCUUGAUGAACUAUCGGAUGAACAUCGCCAAGCCUACGAAGCGCGCAAGAAGCAGCGUGAAGAGGAUUUUGAGGCGCUCAAGAAGAAGCGCGAGGAGGAGGAUUUGGAAGUGUUUCUUUCAAGUUUCAAGAAGGACCGUCAAGGCAACAUCACUCCGGUUGGAAACAUCAAUUUUCCUCCCCUCAUCGACGAACAAGAUGUAAUCACUGUGAGUAAAGUUUUUUCUCCAGAGCAAGUGGCUGUGAUUGAAAGUCUUGUUAGUAAGGGUAAUGUGAUGGCAUACAAUUCUUUUGUGGCUAGUGCUAAUGCUCAGAAAAAUAUGCCUCCAUCAUCUAGUGGUACUGUUGGUAUAUCUGAAAACCCUAGUCCAACUUUACCUAUUUCAUCGGCACCUCCUAUACAACAACAAUAUAGUAUGCCGUUGAAUUUUUACCCUAGUCAAACCAACCAGCUUGUGGCUGCACCUACAUACCCUAAUCCUAUUAUGAGUGUGCCCAAUUCGGCGUCAACGCCGAAUCACUUUGUCACACCACCCAUAGGCGCAAGCAUGUUUGGUCUUCCGCCGAAUUAUGGUUCGGCGCCCAUCCCACAAGUUGCACCAAUAGCUAGUACUCAGGUUGCUCCUAUGUCAUUGCCACAAACAUCUUCAUCUCCUAUGUCAUAG
Molecule: ribosomal RNA, 720 nt
Filed under: Triticum aestivum (bread wheat)
Lineage: Eukaryota; Viridiplantae; Streptophyta; Magnoliopsida; Poales; Poaceae
Description: partial small subunit ribosomal RNA
Source: RNAcentral